This is a small nucleolar RNA of Amphilophus citrinellus (Midas cichlid), 80 nucleotides long. The record is from Ensembl. Lineage: Eukaryota; Metazoa; Chordata; Actinopteri; Cichliformes; Cichlidae.
CUGAUGCAGUGAUGAUUGCAUAGUUCAGCAGAUAACUAUGAAGAAUAACUAUUGUCUUUCGCUCCUAGCUGAUGUGUCGG